CCUACGGGAGGCAGCAGUGGGGAAUCUUGCGCAAUGGGCGAAAGCCUGACGCAGCAACGCCGCGUGCGGGAAGAAGGCCCUAGGGUUGUAAACCGCUUUCAGUAGGAACGAAAAUGACGGUACCUGCAGAAGAAGGUGCGGCCGAACUACGUGCCAGCAGCCGCGGUGACACGUAGGCACCAAGCGUUGUCCGGAUUUAUUGGGCGUAAAGAGCUCGUAGGCGGUUGAGUAAGUCGGGUGUGAAAACUCUGGGCUUAACCCAGAGCCGCCACUCGAUACUGCUGUGACUUGAGUUCGGUAGGGGAGCAGGGAAUUCCUAGUGUAGCGGUGAAAUGCGCAGAUAUUAGGAGGAACACCGGUGGCGAAGGCGCUGCUCUGGGCCGAUACUGACGCUGAGGAGCGAAAGCGUGGGUAGCAAACAGGAUUAGAUACCCUGGUAGUCCACGCCGUAAACGUUGGGCACUAGGUGUGGGUUCCAACCAACGGAAUCCGCGCCGUCGCUAACGCAUUAAGUGCCCCGCCUGGGGAGUACGGCGGCAACGCUAAAACUCAAAGGAAUUGACGG
RNAcentral lists this ribosomal RNA (565 nucleotides) under uncultured bacterium. RNAcentral describes it as "bacterial SSU rRNA". It matches the Rfam family "Bacterial small subunit ribosomal RNA", at positions 338 to 916 of the family's 1533-position model. The record is from RNAcentral.